RNAcentral lists this ribosomal RNA (207 nucleotides) under uncultured Sphingomonas sp. RNAcentral describes it as "partial 16S ribosomal RNA". It matches the Rfam family "Bacterial small subunit ribosomal RNA", at positions 568 to 774 of the family's 1533-position model. The record is from RNAcentral. Lineage: Bacteria; Pseudomonadati; Pseudomonadota; Alphaproteobacteria; Sphingomonadales; Sphingomonadaceae.
UACGUAGGCGGCUUUGUAAGUAAGAGGUGAAAGCCUGGAGCUCAACUCCAGAACUGCCUUUUAGACUGCAUCGCUUAAAUCCAGGAGAGGUGAGUGGAAUUCCGAGUGUAGAGGUGAAAUUCGUAGAUAUUCGGAAGAACACCAGUGGCGAAGGCGGCUCACUGGACUGGUAUUGACGCUGAGGUACGAAAGCGUGGGGAGCAAACA